CCUACGGGAGGCAGCAGUGGGGAAUAUUGCACAAUGGGGGAAACCCUGAUGCAGCGACGCCGCGUGAGUGAAGAAGUAACUCGUUACGUAAAGCUCUAUCAGCAGGGAAGAAAAUGACGGUACCUGAGUACGAAGCCCCGGCUAACUACGUGCCAGCAGCCGCGGUAAUACGUAGGGGGCAAGCGUUAUCCGGAUUUACUGGGGGUAAAGGGAGCGUAGACGGUGCGCCAAGUCUGGAGUGAAAUGCCGGAGCUUAACUGCGGAACUGCUUUUGAAACUGGCGAACUAGAGUGCGGGAGGGGUAAGCGGAAUUCCUGGUGUAGCGGUGAAAUGCGUAGAUAUUAGGAGGAACACCGGUGGCGAAGGCAGCUUACUGGACCGUAACUGACGUUGAGGCUCGAAAGCGUGGGGAGCAAACAGGAUUAGAUACCCGAGUAGUC
This 440-nucleotide ribosomal RNA is filed under the name uncultured bacterium. RNAcentral's name for it is "partial 16S ribosomal RNA". It matches the Rfam family "Bacterial small subunit ribosomal RNA", at positions 338 to 795 of the family's 1533-position model. The record is from RNAcentral.